AGUGAACGCUGGCGGCAGGCCUAACACAUGCAAGUCGAACGGCAGCACAGGAGGUUGUAGCUGGUGCCGAGGGCGGGAGGCGGGCGGAAUAGAAAGACACAGGAACUGACGUGUGGGAGAGGCCGACGAAAGCCGGACUAAUACUGCAAACGAACAACGGCUGAGAGCGAAGGACGGUGAGCCUUGGACCUUGAGGGUUGGACGGAGCCGGUGUCGGAUUAGCUAGUUGGAGGGGUAAAGGCCGACCAAGGCGACGAUCCGUAGCUGGUCUGAGAGGAUGACCAGCCACACUGGAACUGAGACACGGCCCAGACUCCUACGGGAGGCAGCAGUGGGGAAUAUUGGACAAUGGGCGCAAGCCUGAUCCAGCAAUGCCGCGUGUGUGAAGAAGGCCUUCGGGUUGUAAAGCCCUUUUGUCCGGAAAGAAAUGCUUGGGCCUAAUACGGUCGGGUUAUGACGGUACCGAAAGAAUAAGCACCGGCUAACUUCGUG
This 492-nucleotide ribosomal RNA is filed under the name uncultured bacterium. RNAcentral's name for it is "partial 16S ribosomal RNA". It matches the Rfam family "Bacterial small subunit ribosomal RNA", at positions 30 to 507 of the family's 1533-position model. The record is from RNAcentral.